Molecule: long non-coding RNA, 637 nt
Filed under: Cyanistes caeruleus (blue tit)
Lineage: Eukaryota; Metazoa; Chordata; Aves; Passeriformes; Paridae
Description: lncRNA (ENSCCEG00000019739.1)
Source: RNAcentral
CUGAGAAGUACAGACAAUUACUCAGGGAGGUGACUCGGCUCCCUGGGGUUGGGUCUCUAUUUGAAAGCCUUCCUUCUGAAUACAACUUGCAGGGAAUGAAAUGACUCUGUUUUGAAGAAAGAAAUCUUCACACCUUUGUCAGGAACAGCCAGACACACCACAGCCAUUCUUUUGGGUAGAAACAAAAGUACGGAAGAUUAAUUGGCCACCUUCAGGCACUAAAAGAGAUGAGCAUUUGAAAUAAACAUAAGGGUAAGAAAAUGAGAAGUAAUUAACCUUUCUGGCUCAUCUUUCUCCCUGUGCUUGCAACCUGGCAUGCAGUUUUGUCACAUCAAUGAGAAAAUAUCUGAUACAGGUACUGGUACUUCCAUCAGCCCAGCAUUCUUCAGUGUUCUCUAUGUGAUGAAAAUAAAGCACAUUCCUCCUUCUGAACCAUCACCAGCAUGGAGCUCUCCACAGAGAAGCUAAAGACUCCAGCACACAGGUGACCUCAUCUCUCCUGCAGCAAUUCACCGAGGACUGAGGCAGCCCAUGGACCAAACUUGGAGAUUACAAACUGUAUCUGGAUCCACAGGUUACAAUUUUCCCUUUGGCUAAUCAAGACUUUUUUACAUAACGCAAUAAAAACUAAUAAAGC